This 243-nucleotide ribosomal RNA is filed under the name uncultured bacterium. RNAcentral's name for it is "partial 16S ribosomal RNA". It matches the Rfam family "Bacterial small subunit ribosomal RNA", at positions 29 to 269 of the family's 1533-position model. The record is from RNAcentral.
AUUAACGCUAGCGGCAGGCAUAAUACAUGCAAGUUGAACGGCAGCACAGGUAGCAAUACUGGGUGGCGAGUGGCGCACGGGUGCGUAACACGUAUGCAACCUACCCUAUACAGGCGAAUAACCUUUAGAAAUGAGGGCUAAUACGCCGUAGUAUUACAGAUGGGCAUCUAUUUGUAAUUAAAGAUUUAUCGGUAUAGGAUGGGCAUGCGUCCCAUUAGUUAGUUGGUAAGGUAACGGCUUACC